UCCAUUGGGAGAACAAUGGCAUUUUCCCCCUGCCUCGUAUGUUGAUGGCCAAAGAACAUCAUGAACAGGAUUUACAUUCUUCAAUCCAUUCCUUCUCCAACCUUGACAGCUGUUUAAAAGCCAUUGAUCUCACAUGCAUUUUGAGCAGCCAUAAUUCAACUCCCGGCCAUGAGGAUCUGUAAUCUCUUGGUUGGUGUCAUUUUUGCUGUCACACUCAUCUCUUUAGGAUCCAGUUUGAACUUACCUGUCAGGCUCUGCUGGAAUAAAAAAGGAGUAUGCCGGAAUGUCCAAUGCCUCUCCAAUGAAGUAGAGAUCAGUAACUGUCACCAUCUGAGACUGAAAUGCUGCCAAAAGAAGGACUGAGAGGAGUCAAAGCUAUGGUGCUUCCCAAAAUCUGGGCAGUUCAGAAACAGACUUCCUUACAGUUCUCCAUUCUAUCAUGAAAUAAGGAGGAAAUUAGAAUAGUGGUUUGGACCGUCUACUUUUCAGCUUAAUCCAAAAGUGUCUGGGCACUGCUUUGUUUUUUAAAAAUUAUCUGAUUAAAACAAUGUACAUACAGUCUUA
This is a long non-coding RNA of Anolis carolinensis (green anole), 564 nucleotides long. RefSeq lists it as uncharacterized. The transcript has 2 exons. The record is from RefSeq and is a predicted model, not a curated record. Lineage: Eukaryota; Metazoa; Chordata; Lepidosauria; Squamata; Anolidae.